UCUAUACUUUCUCCGUCCGAAAAUACUUGUCCUAGAGAUGAAUAUAUCUAGACUUAUUUUAGUUAUAAAUACAUCAAUUAUAUUUAUUUUUAGGACAAGUAUUUCCGGACGGAUGGAGUAUGAG
Hordeum vulgare subsp. vulgare (domesticated barley) is the source of this 124-nucleotide non-coding RNA. The record is from Rfam. NCBI's taxonomy places the organism in Eukaryota, Viridiplantae, Streptophyta, Magnoliopsida, Poales, Poaceae.